Hemicordylus capensis (graceful crag lizard) is the source of this 3409-nucleotide long non-coding RNA. RefSeq lists it as uncharacterized. The transcript has 3 exons. The record is from RefSeq and is a predicted model, not a curated record. Lineage: Eukaryota; Metazoa; Chordata; Lepidosauria; Squamata; Cordylidae.
UCAAGAAACAAUCGACAGAGGCAACAUCACAGAAGCCAAGAAGAUGUGGAAGGAGCCAAAGACACAGACACACAGGGCAAGCCAAACUAAACCACAACCCAGGGGCUACGUAGAAGCUUCAGGCUUCUCUCUUGUCCCCAACAUCAUAAUCAUCAUCACACACUAUUUGUGAGCCACCCCAUAACAAAUAGUCCUCUGGGCGGCUCACAACACACCACUGAGAAAUGUCCAAUAAGAGCACAUACAAAACGACAAACACAUCACAACACAAAACUGCAGCAAAUAUCCAACUGGCAGCGACACAGAAGCCACAAAGGAAUUGAAAGAGCCGAUGACGAUGCACAAGAUAGCCAAAGCAAGGGCUGUGUUCCCCACCGCCCUGAAUGCUCUGUCAAUCCAGGGUCCAUCAGUAGAAACUUCAGGCUGCUUUGUUCUCUCACCACCUGUGGAAGGCAGCAUGAUCUCUCAUUCUGUGGCUGCCUGGAAUGAAACACGCUUCAUGUAUGUUACAAGCUUCAGGCGUCUUUAUUCUCCCAACAGCCUUGUCAAGCUGGAUAUCCUCUAAGAUGGCGACUGCCUUUAACAGGACACACUUCAUGUGUGCUGCAUGCUCAGCAGCCCUUUGUGCCAUGUUUGGAAAGAAGAAACAGAGUUGGCACACAUUUGCAAUGACCUCCAUGCCGGAGUGGGGAUUUUGGAAUGUUUUUUCCUCCCAAGAGGCCUGUGUGGGAGGCAGGAUCAAAGACGGGCUGGACCAAGUGGGAUUCAAGAAAGAGCACAAGGAAUGAGGAGGACACAGAGGACAAGACAAGCUGACCUGAUCAAUCUUGUGACGAGGAGGCGCAUUGUCCGAGAAUUGAACAGAUUUCAUGAAAGAGCUGAAGGAGCGAGGACAAGACAAGCUGUCUCAAUCUCUUUCGUGAUGAGGCUUCAUCAGAGAACUGAAGAACAUAUACAAAAUAUAAAGAUGUAUACAAAUACUGAGCAUACUUAUUUAUUACAUACCGAUUGUCACAGGAGAAUAGAAAAAUGAAACUCUGAAAAUGUAUUACUCAGGAAAUCUAAGGUGUCAUCCUUCAUAAAUGCCUCAUACUCUAACAUCAUGUGGAUUUGCUCACACUUCAAAUAAAUUAUGUAACUUGUUCUUUCCCAAAGGAUUUCAAAAACAGACCAGUGGAGGCGACAAGAGACAAGCCACGCCAAGCAAAACUGCAUUACCCUUUUAGGGUUUUUUUUCAGAUUGGUCUCAAAACGAGUGGCUGGCUGCUGCAAAUAGAGGCUUCAAGCGAGAGUUGAUUUUGUCCUUGACCCUGUGAGGUAAGUUAGCCUGGAAUAAUAUGUGCUGGCUUCAAGGGUUCAUGCCUAAAAAAUAAGAAUACAUUUGUUUAAAUUGUUUGUAUCCUGUCUAUUCAAGAGCCUUAAACAACCAUCUCUUCAGCCUGGCUUUUAAUGAUAUCUUGUUUUAAUCUUAAUUUUAAUUAGAUUUAAUCUGUUUUAAAUGUUUCUUGAUUUUAAUUGUUUUAUUUUGUGUUUUUUUAUUUUAAUGUAAACCAGCCUGAGCCAAUGAAUGAAUGAAUGAAUGAAUGAAUGAAAUAAUAAAUAUUCAACAAAAUGCUAUUCAUGGCUGCUUGCCCUCUCUUAAAUGAAAACAACAACCACCCCCUACUAAAUGCAAAACAACAACAAAACCCACUAUUAAAUGCAAGCUCCCACACUACUAAAUUAAAAAAAAACACUACUAAAUGCAACAACCCCCCGCAAAGCCCACUACUAAAUGGGAAAAAACCCCACCACUAAAUGCACACACUCCACUAAUAAAUGCAAAAAAAAAAAAUUCACUACUAAAUGCAAUAAAACAGAAGAUAAAAUAGACAAGAAAAAAGAGCAUUCACAACUAAAAACUGAGUAUUCUAAACAGGAGUUAAAAAAACAACCACCAUUGGCUCUGUUCACCAGCCAUUCUCAUUGAACUCUGUUGGUACAUUACUCGUCAGGUUUUUUCACCCGUCAGGCAUCCUUUUUCACUUGACACAGAUGGGUAGACUAGUGGAUUUUCUGAGCCCUGAUUCUAAACUUGGAUUGGAGAAAAAUGGAAUUUUUUCUUGGUGCAGAUCUCCUGACCUAGCUGCUUUGCGUGAGUAUUUGUUCAGUGAAUCUGAAAAAACUAUUAUUGUGAUGUUUGAAACUAACAUUUAACACAUUUGUUAAAGAUUUGUGGUAAUGUUUUAUUUUGAAACAUGAAUUAUUUGAAAUGAUGAAAGAAUGUUAAUAUGCCUAUAUAUUCUCUUUUUACCCAGCAGGUUGACUUGUAUACAGUGCCACGUGGAUGGUGCAUAAAUCCCUGCCAAGGAGGAUAUUGCAAGAAAUCGGAAAUGUAUAAAAGUGGCUACUGUCAGAGGGGUAUAUAUUAACCUAUGUCUAGAUAUGCUUUUGAUUUUCUUUUCCCCUAGCAAUCAAUCAAUGUAUCUAUAGACCAGAAAAAUUUCCCCUAGCAGACUGAUUUACAUAGACGGCCAUGUGGAUUGUGGGUAAAUCCCUACUUAGGAGGUUAUUUGAAGAAAUCCAAAGUGUAUAAAAGUGGCUGAUAUCAAAGAGGUAUGUAUCAACUCCUAUUUAGAUGUUUUUACUCCCUUAUUAGGAUGCUAGAUAUACAGUUAAGGUGACUCUAUUUAAAAGUCUUCUGUCUGGAUGAUUUUCCUCUCAAAAGAGACUUGUGCUGACAGGCUGAAAGUUGCUCUUACAAUAAGUGAUGUAGGGACAUAGGAGCUGAAGUCCUAUGGUCAGGGUGAAGUGCUGGUAACCUCUCCCCUGUAGCCUCCAAAGAAAGAGGAGAACUUUCUGCAACUGGAAGAAAAAAGAUGAAGUCUGAAGAAAAGAUUCACUGUGGAAGGAGCGGUCGGCUUGCCAUGGACUGUGAUGCUUUCUUGCUCCACGUUAUUGAUAGCCAGUUUAAUUUAUUGUUACCUUUAAAUUGUUGUUCUGUAUGUGAGCGUUCUGUGCAUUCAGUAUUUCUGUAAAGCCUUUGUGUAGAACCCGGGUUCUUCCUUUUGUAAUGUAUUUUAAAUGUAUGGAGAAUUUUUGUUGUAGCUGCUACACUUCUGAUCAAACCUAUGAUGUUGAAGAGCAAUUCUGACAAGAUGCAAAACAAGGGAGCCUUCUUCCUUAAAUCCAUGUGGUAAAUCCACGGGGGCUGCUCCAAGGACAGCAAUAUCUGACAUUUUGUUUGACAGAGAAUCCCACAAGUGGAUGAUGCGUUGUGUGAAAAAGUGUUUGUUUGUUGGUUCUAGAGGUGGUUCCUAUCCAAUUGCCUGGGAUGACCUCUGGUUCUAGUGUGAUGUGAGAGGGAGAAGAAUUUCUCUCCAUCCUCUUUCUCCACCCUAUGCCUGAUUUUAUAGACCUCUAUCAUGUC